This is a long non-coding RNA of Oreochromis niloticus (Nile tilapia), 848 nucleotides long. RefSeq lists it as uncharacterized. The transcript has 3 exons. NCBI's taxonomy places the organism in Eukaryota, Metazoa, Chordata, Actinopteri, Cichliformes, Cichlidae. The record is from RefSeq and is a predicted model, not a curated record.
UGAGUCUUUUGGACUGCACAGAGUGAUGCAGUAUUGACUGUGAUGCUGAUUUGAGUUGUCUCAUUCUGUAUUUUUGUGCUUUGUCUUUUGUUACACAGAGUGAAAGAGAUCUUUGGUUUUGCCUUUGCUGACUGCUGAUCUGAUCGUCUCAAGUCUGGUGACCUGCUGCAGAAAACCCUCUCCCUCUAUCUUUGACAAGCAAUUAACAAGCAUAUUCAGUCUGUCCUAUCACUCUCCCUCUCCCUGCUCCAUCUUUUUUGACAAGCCAUUCUAUCUUCUAUCAUUUCUCCGCCAUGAGCUCUAUCUAAUUUGACAAGCUUGAACCUGAGUUGAAAAGCAAUCUAAGUUUGACAAGAAACCAAGUUUGACAAGAAACCAAGUUUGACAAGAAAUUGAAGUUACCACAACUUCGUCGAUCUGUUUUCAGAAUUCUGAGAGAUCUCCGCUCUCACUGCUCCUUCUUUCCUGUCAUUAAACUCUCUCAUAUCCACUCAUUUUGCUGGAAAUUACAAGUAAAAAGUUGAAUAUACAGUAGUAGAAUUACAGUACAGUAGAACUCACAGUAGAAACUACUUACAGAGCCCUACAUUUGUCAUUUUAAUUUUGCAUUACACUUUGAAAUAAACACUGAUAGUUUGGCUUACAAGUGCAAUUACUUUGAUAAAUUAUAUAAAAUAUACAGCUUUUUUGAGAUUUUUCUUUGUAGUAAGAUAAUCUGGUUAUUUUGUAAUACAUACAUUCAGGCUGCUGUAUUCACAUAAAUAUUAAAUUUGAUUCAAAUACAUUUUUCAAGUCUGUUUCAUUGGCUUGACAUUUGACUACAAGUUUUUGCUAUUAUUAUUAUUUAA